GGCGGACGGGUGAGUAACGCGUGGGUAACCUGCCUUGUACAGGGGGAUAACAGUCAGAAAUGACUGCUAAUACCGCAUAAGCGCACAGGACCGCAUGGUCCGGUGUGAAAAACUCCGGUGGUAUAAGAUGGACUCGCGUCCAAUUAGCUAGUUGGUGAGGUAACGGCCCACCAAGGCGACGAUUGGUAGCCGGACUGAGAGGUUGAACGGCCACAUUGGGACUGAGACACGGCCCAGACUCCUACGGGAGGCAGCAGUGGGGGAUAUUGCACAAUGGGGGAAACCCUGAUGCAGCGACGCCGCGUGGAGGAAGAAGGUUUUCGGAUUGUAAACUCCUGUCGUUAGGGACGAUAAUGACGGUACCUAACAAGAAAGCACCGGCUAACUACGUGCCAGCAGCCGCGGUAAAACGUAGGGUGCAAGCGUUGUCCGGAAUUACUGGGUGUAAAGGGAGCGCA
Molecule: ribosomal RNA, 458 nt
Filed under: uncultured bacterium
Lineage: Bacteria
Description: bacterial SSU rRNA
Rfam family: Bacterial small subunit ribosomal RNA
Source: RNAcentral